AUUGAACGCUGGCGGCAGGCCUAACACAUGCAAGUCGAGCGGAUGAAGGGAGCUUGCUCCUGGAUUCAGCGGCGGACGGGUGAGUCAUGCCUAGGAAUCUGCCUGGUAGUGGGGGAUAACGUCCGAAAACGUGCGCUAAUACCGAAUACGUCCUGAGGGAGAAAGUGGGGGAUCUUCGGACUUCACGCUAUCAGAUGAGCCUAGGCCGGAUUAGCUAGUUGGUGGGGUAAAGGCCUACCAAGGGGACGAUCCGUAACUGGGCUGAGAGGAUGAACAGUCACACUGGAACUGAGACACGGUCCAGACUCCUACGGGAGGCAGCAGUGGGGAAUAUUGGACCAUGGGCGAAAGACUGAUCCAGCCAGGCCGCGUGUGUGAAGAAGGUCUUCGGAUUGUAAAGCACUUUAAGUUGGGAGGAAGGGCAGUAAGUUAAUACCUUGAUGUUUUGACGUUACCAACAGAAUAAGCACCGGCUAACUUCGUG
This 484-nucleotide ribosomal RNA is filed under the name uncultured bacterium. RNAcentral describes it as "partial 16S ribosomal RNA". It matches the Rfam family "Bacterial small subunit ribosomal RNA", at positions 30 to 507 of the family's 1533-position model. The record is from RNAcentral.